GUGCUCACUGUAGCAACACAUACACUAAAAUUGGAAUGAUACAGAGAAGAUCAGCAUGGCCCCUACACAAGAAUUGACAUACAAAUUCAUGAAGCAUUCCAUAUUUUA
Small nuclear RNA from Jaculus jaculus (lesser Egyptian jerboa), 108 nucleotides. The record is from Ensembl. NCBI's taxonomy places the organism in Eukaryota, Metazoa, Chordata, Mammalia, Rodentia, Dipodidae.